UACAGGGGAGCCAAGCGUUGUCCGGAUUUACUGGGCGUAAAGAGCGCGCAGGCGGUCGUUCAAGUCGCGUGUGAAAGCCCCCGGCUCAACUGGGGAGGGUCACGCGAUACUGAUCGACUCGAAGGCAGGAGAGGGUAGUGGAAUUCCCGGUGUAGUGGUGAAAUGCGUAGAUAUCGGGAGGAACACCAGUGGCGAAGGCGACUACCUGGCCUGUUCUUGACGCUGAGGCGCGAAAGCUAGGGGAGCAAACGGG
RNAcentral lists this ribosomal RNA (253 nucleotides) under uncultured bacterium. Its description in RNAcentral is "partial 16S ribosomal RNA". It matches the Rfam family "Bacterial small subunit ribosomal RNA", at positions 524 to 776 of the family's 1533-position model. The record is from RNAcentral.